This 497-nucleotide ribosomal RNA is filed under the name uncultured bacterium. RNAcentral's name for it is "partial 16S ribosomal RNA". It matches the Rfam family "Bacterial small subunit ribosomal RNA", at positions 28 to 507 of the family's 1533-position model. The record is from RNAcentral.
GAUGAACGCUGGCGGCGUGCCUAAUACAUGCAAGUCGAGCGAACGGACGAGAAGCUUGCUUCUCUGAUGUUAGCGGCGGACGGGUGAGUAACACGUGGAUAACCUACCUAUAAGACUGGGAUAACUUCGGGAAACCGGAGCUAAUACCGGAUAAUAUUUUGAACCGCAUGGUUCAAAAGUGAAAGACGGUCUUGCUGUCACUUAUAGAUGGAUCCGCGCUGCAUUAGCUAGUUGGUAAGGUAACGGCUUACCAAGGCAACGAUGCAUAGCCGACCUGAGAGGGUGAUCGGCCACACUGGAACUGAGACACGGUCCAGACUCCUACGGGAGGCAGCAGUAGGGAAUCUUCCGCAAUGGGCGAAAGCCUGACGGAGCAACGCCGCGUGAGUGAUGAAGGUCUUCGGAUCGUAAAACUCUGUUAUUAGGGAAGAACAUACGUGUAAGUAACUGUGCACAUCCUGACGGUACCUAAUCAGAAAGCCACGGCUAACUACGUG